Small nucleolar RNA from Ornithorhynchus anatinus (platypus), 138 nucleotides. Lineage: Eukaryota; Metazoa; Chordata; Mammalia; Monotremata; Ornithorhynchidae. The record is from RefSeq and is a predicted model, not a curated record.
CCCCUCUCGGCGUCGUACCUGGAGAGCUUCCAGUCCUCUACCAGUCUCGACUACGAGAGGGAGGGUCAAGCAGAGGCCUGCCCGUUCCCUUCCUAGCUUGGCCAGUGGCUAGCGAGCGGAAGACAAUCUGCUGCAAGU